UUGUUGGGUAGGGGAGCGUUCUGUAAGCCUGCGAAGGUGGCCUGUGAGGGUUGCUGGAGGUAUCAGAAGUGCGAAUGCUGACAUAAGUAACGAUAAAGCGGGUGAAAAGCCCGCUCGCCGGAAGACCAAGGGUUCCUGUCCAACGUUAAUCGGGGCAGGGUGAGUCGACCCCUAAGGCGAGGCCGAAAGGCGUAGUCGAUGGGAAACGGGUUAAUAUUCCCGUACUUGGUGUUACUGCGAAGGGGGGACGGAGAAGGCUAUGUUGGCCGGGCGACGGUUGUCCCGGUUUAAGCGUGUAGGUGUGUGUUCCAGGUAAAUCCGGUUCACUUUAACACUGAGGCGUGAUGACGAGGCACUACGGUGCUGAAGCAACAAAUGCCCUGCUUCCAGGAAAAGCCUCUAAGCAUCAGGUAACACGAAAUCGUACCCCAAACCGACACAGGUGGUCAGGUAGAGAAUACCAAGGCGCUUGAGAGAACUCGGGUGAAGGAACUAGGCAAAAUGGUGCCGUAACUUCGGGAGAAGGCACGCUGACACGUAGGUGAAGUGAUUUACUCAUGGAGCUGAAGUCAGUCGAAGAUACCAGCUGGCUGCAACUGUUUAUUAAAAACACAGCACUGUGCAAACACGAAAGUGGACGUAUACGGUGUGACGCCUGCCCGGUGCCGGAAGGUUAAUUGAUGGGGUCAGCGCAAGCGAAGCUCCUGAUCGAAGCCCCGGUAAACGGCGGCCGUAACUAUAACGGUCCUAAGGUAGCGAAAUUCCUUGUCGGGUAAGUUCCGACCUGCACGAAUGGCGUAAUGAUGGCCAGGCUGUCUCCACCCGAGACUCAGUGAAAUUGAACUCGCUGUGAAGAUGCAGUGUACCCGCGGCAAGACGGAAAGACCCCGUGAACCUUUACUAUAGCUUGACACUGAACAUUGAGCCUUGAUGUGUAGGAUAGGUGGGAGGCUUUGAAGUGUGGACGCCAGUCUGCAUGGAGCCGACCUUGAAAUACCACCCUUUAAUGUUUGAUGUUCUAACGUGGACCCGUUACCCGGGUUGCGGACAGUGUCUGGUGGGUAGUUUGACUGGGGCGGUCUCCUCCUAAAGAGUAACGGAGGAGCACGAAGGUUGGCUAAUCCUGGUCGGACAUCAGGAGGUUAGUGCAAUGGCAUAAGCCAGCUUGACUGCGAGCGUGACGGCGCGAGCAGGUGCGAAAGCAGGUCAUAGUGAUCCGGUGGUUCUGAAUGGAAGGGCCAUCGCUCAACGGAUAAAAGGUACUCCGGGGAUAACAGGCUGAUACCGCCCAAGAGUUCAUAUCGACGGCGGUGUUUGGCACCUCGAUGUCGGCUCAUCACAUCCUGGGGCUGAAGUAGGUCCCAAGGGUAUGGCUGUUCGCCAUUUAAAGUGGUACGCGAGCUGGGUUUAGAACGUCGUGAGACAGUUCGGUCCCUAUCUGCCGUGGGCGCUGGAGAACUGAGGGGGGCUGCUCCUAGUACGAGAGGACCGGAGUGGACGCAUCACUGGUGUUCGGGUUGUCAUGCCAAUGGCACUGCCCGGUAGCUAAAUGCGGAAGAGAUAAGUGCUGAAAGCAUCUAAGCACGAAACUUGCCCCGAGAUGAGUUCUCCCUGAGACUUAGAGUCUCCUGAAGGAACGUUGAAGACGACGACGUUGAUAGGCCGGGUGUGUAAGCGCAGCGAUGCGUUGAGCUAACCGGUACUAAUGAACCGUGAGGC
RNAcentral lists this ribosomal RNA (1719 nucleotides) under Salmonella enterica subsp. enterica serovar Bovismorbificans. Its description in RNAcentral is "partial 23S ribosomal RNA". It matches the Rfam family "Bacterial large subunit ribosomal RNA", at positions 1221 to 2917 of the family's 2925-position model. The record is from RNAcentral. Lineage: Bacteria; Pseudomonadati; Pseudomonadota; Gammaproteobacteria; Enterobacterales; Enterobacteriaceae.